Long non-coding RNA from Labeo rohita (rohu), 632 nucleotides. RefSeq lists it as uncharacterized. The transcript is spliced from 5 exons. NCBI's taxonomy places the organism in Eukaryota, Metazoa, Chordata, Actinopteri, Cypriniformes, Cyprinidae. The record is from RefSeq and is a predicted model, not a curated record.
AACAGUGUUGGGCAGUAGCGUCGCUACAAGUAGUGACGCUACUAGCUUAACUACAUUUCUCAGUAGCGUGGUGGUAGCGUCGCUGUUUUCUGAAUCAAAUAGCUUUUCAGUAGCUAAGCUCUUAUUUUGAUCAAGUAGUGCGGUAGCGUCAACAAAAGCUAAAAGCUAUAUAUUUUUCUAUACUUUAAGCUCAAAUCGGAAAUAUAACUGCUACGGAUCACUGAUCCUGGGUCAGUAAGCGACGUCACCGCCACUAAACCUCGUGACGCCAUUGGCUCAUUAAACUGUCAGUCAAACCGUAUUAAUCCUCCCGCCUCUCUCGUGAAUGAAGUGCGGCGCGCACUUUGAAGCAUCUCAGCGUGUUUGCAGACUUGAGCCCUCUUUCACCUCCUACCAGACCAUAACCUUGAGUCUCACGGUGCCUGAACAGUCUGUCAGGAUCAAACACAAGAGAGAGGAACUAUGAGCUCAGAUCUGAAAACAGAAUGUGGGGGCCAUCAGAUAAAGAAGAUGAAGAAGAGAAAACUACCAACUACCUCUCGUACUAAUUGGCUGUUUCAUCUGUGUGUUUUCAGUGCUGAUAAACAAAGUGUGUUUGCAGGUCACAGUAGUGGGUUUUAUCGGCGAUUCUG